GAUCCUGGCUCAGGAUGAACGCUAGCUACAGGCUUAACACAUGCAAGUCGAGGGGCAGCAUGGUCUUAGCUUGCUAAGGCCGAUGGCGACCGGCGCACGGGUGAGUAACGCGUAUCCAACCUGCCUUACACUCUUGGACAGCCUUCUAGAAAGGGAGAUUAAUACAAGAUGUUAUCAUGAGUAAGCUAUUUUCGCAUGUAAUUUAAAGGUUUACCGGUGUAAGAGUGGGGAUGCGUU
Molecule: ribosomal RNA, 237 nt
Filed under: uncultured bacterium
Lineage: Bacteria
Description: partial 16S ribosomal RNA
Rfam family: Bacterial small subunit ribosomal RNA
Source: RNAcentral